RNAcentral lists this ribosomal RNA (252 nucleotides) under uncultured bacterium. RNAcentral describes it as "partial 16S ribosomal RNA". It matches the Rfam family "Bacterial small subunit ribosomal RNA", at positions 524 to 776 of the family's 1533-position model. The record is from RNAcentral.
UACGGAGGAUGCGAGCGUUAUCCGGAUUUAUUGGGUUUAAAGGGUGCGCAGGCGGAAUGUCAAGUCAGCGGUAAAAUUGCGGGGCUCAACCCCGUCGAGCCGUUGAAACUGGCAGACUUGAGUUGGAGAGAAGUAUGCGGAAUGCGUGGUGUAGCGGUGAAAUGCGUAGAUAUCAGGAGGAACACCGGUGGCGAAGGCGGCCUGCUGGACUGCAACUGACGUUGAGGCCCGAAAGCGUGGGGAGCAAACAGG